CAGUAGCCGCGGGAAUACGAAGGGUGCAAGCGUUACUCGGAAUUACUGGGCGUAAAGCGUGCGCAGGCGGUUAUAUAAGACAGAUGUGAAAUCCCCGGGCUCAACCUGGGAACUGCAUUUGUGACUGUAUAGCUAGAGUACGGCAGAGGGGGAUGGAAUUCCGCGUGUAGCAGUGAAAUGCGUAGAUAUGCGGAGGAACACCGAUGGCGAAGGCAAUCCCCUGGGCCUGUACUGACGCUCAUGCACGAAAGCGUGGGGAGCAAACAGGAUUAGAUACCCCUGUAGUCCCUGUCUCUUAUAC
This 301-nucleotide ribosomal RNA is filed under the name uncultured bacterium. RNAcentral's name for it is "partial 16S ribosomal RNA". It matches the Rfam family "Bacterial small subunit ribosomal RNA", at positions 509 to 807 of the family's 1533-position model. The record is from RNAcentral.